UACGUAGGGUGCAAGCGUUAAUCGGAAUUACUGGGCGUAAAGCGUGCGGAGGCGGUUUUGUAAGUCUGACGUGAAAUCCCCGGGCUCAACCUGGGAAUUGCGUUGGAGACUGCAAGGCUAGAAUCUGGCAGAGGGGGGUAGAAUUCCACGUGUAGCAGUGAAAUGCGUAGAGAUGUGGAGGAACACCGAUGGCGAAGGCAGCCCCCUGGGUCAAGAUUGACGCUCAUGCACGAAAGCGUGGGGAGCAAACAGG
RNAcentral lists this ribosomal RNA (253 nucleotides) under uncultured bacterium. Its description in RNAcentral is "partial 16S ribosomal RNA". It matches the Rfam family "Bacterial small subunit ribosomal RNA", at positions 524 to 776 of the family's 1533-position model. The record is from RNAcentral.